UCUUAUAACUGUCAUCUCACUCUACCCCUUUACUCAGGUUGCUAACCCUUCUGCCGUAUCAUUAUACUUGCUUGUAGGACUAAUGGGAACGCUAUAGGGCUAAGGCAAGUCUCCAAGGUCCAAUGGCCUCUGAGCAGAAACAGGCCACCUUCUGAUCUGUAGAUGGAAUGAAUGGAUUAAAUGAGAGCCAAGCCAGCUGUUGCAAGCUUUAUCAGUACACAGACCUAACAGAUGGGAGCCCAUUCUGAAAGCCUCCUGCUACAGCAAAAUUUAGAAAGAAUUAGAAUAGGCUGCCAACCAGCCGAAAAUUUCCAUGUGAAGGCUGCUAUACACACACAUCUAAAUCACUGUGGGGAAAAAAAAAGUAACAGAAUUGGAAGAAUUCAUCAAAAUAAUCUAUAUCCCUGAAGAAUAAACAUGCACCACACCAUUGUAGUCUGACCAAAUGGCUGUAAAGACCCCUUUAAGGCGAAGUGAGAGAAUUUGUUUUCUACAUCUAAUAAAACACUGACACCCGGUGCUGGAUGAAAAUAACUCACAUCUAACUAUACUAACUGAAAACAAAAGAAAAUAACUAUCAUCUGAGAUGUUAUGGUCACUGUGCACAUGUACACAAAGGAUCUGUCUCUCCUGUGUGUCAUUACCGGAAUCGUACAUCAAUGGGAAAUAAAAAGAUUCAUGAUCCCUGCUGCCACCCAGAGCUUUAAUACCUCUGGUGAAGAAAGGAGAAAGAAACAACUGAAUAUCAAGCUGCUGAUCACUAAUGUCUACCACAUGCGGAAGAAAAUAAGCAUGUAAGUGUAUAUUCAAUGAAAAAAUAACUGUUAUGAAAUAUUCAUUUGAAAAGUAA
Molecule: non-coding RNA, 850 nt
Organism: Monodelphis domestica (gray short-tailed opossum)
Lineage: Eukaryota; Metazoa; Chordata; Mammalia; Didelphimorphia; Didelphidae
Source: RefSeq, a predicted model, not a curated record